RNAcentral lists this ribosomal RNA (253 nucleotides) under uncultured bacterium. Its description in RNAcentral is "partial 16S ribosomal RNA". It matches the Rfam family "Bacterial small subunit ribosomal RNA", at positions 524 to 776 of the family's 1533-position model. The record is from RNAcentral.
UACGGAGGGUGCAAACGUUGCUCGGAAUUAUUGGGCGUAAAGCGCACGUAGGCGGUCUGUUAAGUCGGGCGUGAAAUCCCUCAGCUCAACUGAGGAAGUGCACUCGAAACUGGCGGACUUGAAUACAGGAGAGGGUCGCGGAAUUCCCGGUGUAGAGGUGAAAUUCGUAGAUAUCGGGAGGAACACCAAUGGCGAAGGCAGCUCGCUGGGACGGUACUGACGCUGAGACGCGAAAGCGUGGGGAGCAAACAGG